Molecule: unclassified non-coding RNA, 246 nt
Filed under: Hevea brasiliensis (rubber tree)
Lineage: Eukaryota; Viridiplantae; Streptophyta; Magnoliopsida; Malpighiales; Euphorbiaceae
Source: RNAcentral
AUUUUCUCAUUCAAACAACACUACAUCCAUUGAUUCCGAGGGAAGAAAAUUUAAAAUAUGUAUAUAUAUAUAUAUUCUCUCAACAGAUUGUAUGUUGGCUCACGGAUUUUCGCCCCCUAAAGUCAAUUCCUGGUUCCACCAUUGAUAUCAGAUUCAUGGUCAGUUCCAUAUAAAAUCUUCUGCAUACCAAAAAUCAGUCAAGGGAUCUGAAGCUUGGCAGCCCAUUUCCUUCUAAAGCUCAGAUUU